GCGGGAGUAACUCAGUUGGUAGAGUGACUGCCUUCCAAGCAGUAUGUCGCCGGUUCGAGUCCGGUCUCCCGCU
Molecule: transfer RNA, 73 nt
Filed under: Chloroflexota bacterium
Lineage: Bacteria; Bacillati; Chloroflexota
Description: tRNA-Gly
Rfam family: tRNA
About the family: Transfer RNA (tRNA) molecules are approximately 80 nucleotides in length. Their secondary structure includes four short double-helical elements and three loops (D, anti-codon, and T loops).
Source: RNAcentral